Molecule: ribosomal RNA, 1695 nt
Filed under: human gut metagenome
Description: bacterial LSU rRNA
Rfam family: Bacterial large subunit ribosomal RNA
Source: RNAcentral
GUGCGUAACAGCUCACUAGUCGAGUGACCCUGCGCCGAAAAUGUACCGGGGCUAAGCAUACUACCGAAGCUGCGGAUUCAACUUCAGAGUUGAGUGGUAGGGGAGCGUUGCAUGCACGUAGAAGCCGUACCGUAAGGAGCGGUGGAGAGCAUGGAAGAGAGAAUGCCGGUGUGAGUAGCGAGAUGUAGGUGAGAAUCCUACACACCGAUAGCCCAAGGAUUCCAGGGGAAGGUUCGUCCGCCCUGGGUAAGUCGGGACCUAAGGCGAGGCUGAAAAGCGUAGUCGAUGGAAAACAGGUUGAUAUUCCUGUACCCGCGCAUUGAGUGAUGGAGUGACAAAGAAGGCUAACCGGACCGGUAAAUGGAUUCCGGAUCAAGCGAGGUAGGAGGCAGUCAGGCAAAUCCGGCUGUCAAUCUGAAGGCGUGAUGAGGAGCGAACGGGCGACCCAGUAGCGAAGACGGCGAUGCCAGCUUUCAAGAAAAGCUUCUAGCGCAAAUCAAUGAGCGGCCCGUACCAAAACCGACACAGGUGGUCAAGGCGAGAAGCCUAAGGUGAGCGAGAGAACUGUUGCCAAGGAACUCGGCAAAAUAGCCCCGUACGUUCGCAAGAAGGGGCGCUCGAAAGAGCCGCAGUGAAGAGGCCCAAGCGACUGUUUAACUAAAACACAGCUCUCUGCAAAGUCGCAAGACGAAGUAUAGGGGGUGACGCCUGCCCGGUGCUGGAAGGUUAAGAGGAUUUGUCAUCCGCAAGGAGAAGCAAUGAAUUGAAGCCCCAGUGAACGGCGGCCGUAACUAUAACGGUCCUAAGGUAGCGAAAUUCCUUGUCAGGUAAGUUCUGACCCGCACGAAAGGCGUAAUGAUUUGGGCGCUGUCUCGGCAGCAGACUCGGUGAAAUCUUAGUACCUGUGAAGAUGCAGGUUACCCGCAACUAGACGGAAAGACCCCAUGGAGCUUUACUGUAGCCUGAUAUUGAGUUUUGAUCAAGUAUGUACAGGAUAGGUGGGAGACGAAGAAGUUGGGACGUCAGUUUCAAUGGAGUCGACGUUGGGAUACCACUCUUAGUUGAUUGAAAUUCUAACCUAUAUCCGUGAACCGGGUAAGGGACAGUGUCAGGUGGGCAGUUUGACUGGGGCGGUCGCCUCCUAAAGAGUAACGGAGGCGCCCAAAGGUACCCUCAGAUUGGUUGGAAAUCAAUCGACGAGCGCAAAUGCAGAAGGGUGCUUGACUGCAAGACAGACAAGUCGAGCAGGGACGAAAGUCGGGAUUAGUGAUCCGGCGGUGCAGAAUGGAAUGGCCGUCGCUUAACGGAUAAAAGCUACCCUGGGGAUAACAGGCUGAUCUCGCCCAAGAGUUCACAUCGACGGCGAGGUUUGGCACCUCGAUGUCGGCUCAUCGCAUCCUGGAGCUGAAUUCGGUUCCAAGGGUUGGGCUGUCCGCCCAUUAAAGCGGUACGCGAGCUGGGUUCAGAACGUCGUGAGACAGUUCGGUCCCUAUCUGUUGUGGGCGUAGGAAAUUUGAGGAGAGCUGUCCUUAGUACGAGAGGACCGGGAUGGACCCACCGCUGGUGCACCAGUUGUAUCGCCAGAUGCAUAGCUGGGUAGCUAAGUGGGGAACGGAUAAACGCUGAAGGCAUCUAAGCGUGAAACCGACUCCGAGAUGAGAUUUCCCAUUUCCUAGAGAAAGUAAGACCCCUUGA